CGAGGGGUGCUAAGCGUUGCUCGGAAUCAUUGGGCGUAAAGGGUAGGUAGGUGGUCUCAUUUGUCUGGGGUGAAAGCCUUGAGCUUAACUCAAGAAGUGCCCCGGAAACGGUGAGACUAGAGUACUGGAGAGGGUCGUGGAAUUCCCGGUGUAGCGGUGAAAUGCGUAGAGAUCGGGAGGAACACCAGAGGCGAAGGCGGCGACCUGGACAGUAACUGACACUCAACUACGAAAGCGUGGGUAGCAAACAGGAUUAGAUACCCUGGUAGUCCACGCCGUAAACGAUGAGUACUAGGCUUGGCGGGUCUUGACCCCUGCUGAGCCGGCGCUAACGCAAUAAGUACUCCGCCUGGGAAGUACGGUCGCAAGACUA
This 373-nucleotide ribosomal RNA is filed under the name uncultured organism. RNAcentral's name for it is "bacterial SSU rRNA". It matches the Rfam family "Bacterial small subunit ribosomal RNA", at positions 526 to 896 of the family's 1533-position model. The record is from RNAcentral.